GCCUGGGUGGCUCAGUCGGUUAGGCGUCCGACUUCGGCUCAGGUCACCAUCUCACGGUCCGUGGGUUCGAGCCCCACAUCGGGCU
This is a non-coding RNA of Felis catus (domestic cat), 85 nucleotides long. NCBI's taxonomy places the organism in Eukaryota, Metazoa, Chordata, Mammalia, Carnivora, Felidae. The record is from Rfam.